AUGUUUGUCAUACGAGCAAAUUUUUACAAUAUAUUAUAUAUUAAUAAAGUUUCAAGUGUUCGCUUGUCCGUCGACCGAUUGUCUGUUCAUCGGCAAUAAUACGGCAAAGUUAUGUAUUUGAUAAUUUAUUCUUAGAAAAUAUUUCGUAAUAAAAUCAAAUAAAUAAUCGGUAACUAUUCAAACCGUCUAGUACACUGCCAAAAAUACUGACAAAUUUUAAACUACUUAUGUGACAAGACUCAACAGUUCGACAGAGAAUAUUCAGGUAUUUUUUAUCAGAGGUAGUCAGU
Cinara cedri is the source of this 290-nucleotide non-coding RNA. Lineage: Eukaryota; Metazoa; Arthropoda; Insecta; Hemiptera; Aphididae. The record is from the annotation of a GenBank genome assembly.